AUUGAACGCUGGCGGCAGGCCUAACACAUGCAAGUCGAGCGGAUGAAGGGAGCUUGCUCCUGGAUUCAGCGGCGGACGGGUGAGUAAUGCCUAGGAAUCUGCCUGGUAGUGGGGGAUAACGUCCGGAAACGGGCGCUAAUACCGCAUACGUCCUGAGGGAGAAAGUGGGGGAUCUUCGGACCUCACGCUAUCAGAUGAGCCUAGGUCGGAUUAGCUAGUUGGUGGGGUAAAGGCCUACCAAGGCGACGAUCCGUAACUGGUCUGAGAGGAUGAUCAGUCACACUGGAACUUAGACACGGUCCAGACUCCUACGGGAGGCAGCAGUGGGGAAUAUUGGACAAUGGGCGAAAGCCUGAUCCAGCCAUGCCGCGUGUGUGAAGAAGGUCUUCGGACUGUAAAGCACUUUAAGUUGGGAGGAAGGGCAGUAAGUUAAUACCUUGCUGUUUUGACGUUACCAACAGAAUAAGCACCGGCUAACUUCGUG
Molecule: ribosomal RNA, 484 nt
Filed under: uncultured bacterium
Lineage: Bacteria
Description: partial 16S ribosomal RNA
Rfam family: Bacterial small subunit ribosomal RNA
Source: RNAcentral